GUCUCUGGUUGAAGAUCCCUCUCUUGUGGAGUUUCCCUUGUGAGCCUACAUCUUCAGAGACGGCCUGGGAAGGUGAAAGCGUCUCAUUUUAGAGAGAAGGUUGACUACUUAAGGGGAGCCACGGCAUCUCCAAAAAGAGAGGGAAGCAGAGGGCCUCGGCUCACUUACUAACUUGAGUAAGAUUUGUAAUGUGCAGUAGAAACAGUCUAAUUGGGGCUUACAUGCAGCAGCUUGCAAUUGUGCUUUCAUCCAAGACAGUGCUGGAGGCAGUUCAGUUGAACUAGCUGCUGAAAAUACAGACAUCUCCCAAAUUACUUGUUUAAAAUCUGCCUCCAGUAAAAUUUACUCCCUGCAGCUGCUAUCAUCUCUUCUACCUGGAGCUGUGUAACGUUCUCCUUGCCUGCAAAUAUCUCACUGGGCAGCACCACUGAUGCAUCAUCAAGAACAACAGAACGCUGCGUUGUGUAUAAGCUCUGGAGAGCCUGAAACCUCACCAAGAUGCUGUUUACAGCCUGCUCAUGGAUUUAGGGCUGCUUCUCUGAUGCUAGAAGCUAACUAUCUCCUUAAUUGUAAUUAAAAAUGAAAGUCCCUAGGAUGACGUGGAUGCUCACAUGUCAGUAUGUUUUCUUAUCUAAACUUAAUCUGCGGAUAAAACUGAGGGGUGCCAAAGAGCAAAAUUUACCACUAAUAACGUACUCUUGCCUUGCCUUUCCCUAGCAUCUUAUAGCCUAGAGAGCAGAACAGUCUGUUAAAAAAUUCAGCAGACGGUCUUUUGUACUCAAUAACUAACAACACUGAAACCCUUGCCAAGAACUCUCAGUGUGGAGAGGGAGGAGGAGAAUUUUACAUGUAGCGUAUGAAAAUGGGCUUUUUGUGAAGUUAAUUCUGGAAGGUUUCAGCCUCAGUAUAAGGCCACUCUAGAGCGGUGAGAUGGCUCAUUCUUCGCAUUAAAUUCUAUUGCAAGUUAUACAACAGUGGUUGAAAAUUUUCUGACAGCAAGUUUUUCCAUCACAAAAUAGCAAUUCAUUGAAUCACAAUAUGUGUUAGGACAGGGCUGAAUGGUUAAGACGUGGCUUUCUGUACUCCUCUUUUCUCUCAGAGGAAGUAGCCCUUGAGAUCCUGAUGUCAGGCUGCUGUGAGAGCAGGCUCUGAGCUCAGCAAGCAUUUCCAAUCUUCCUUCUCCCACUCCCUCUUCCCCCUGCGUUGCAAUUGUGCUCCCCAUUCGCAAUAUUGCUGAGCUGUCUGUAAUGAUAAAUGAUGUGCCUUUCUUUAAAUUUGCUUUCUGCUCAGUACUAGAUAUUGGCCGGCUUGGAUGUGUGCUCUGGGUGGAUAAAUUACUUUGGCAAGUCAUAGAGAAUUUAUGCACGUGGCAACAGAUGUACCAUGUGUGGUAGAAUUUUUCUUUGUUGUUCCAAUUAUGUAACUUGAUUUUACCUGAGCCAAUUAUAUUUUCAUGAAGAUUCGGUUGCUGGAUUUUGUGUGUGUGUGUGUGUAUGUCAGAAAUGUGAACUUUAGUGCUGAAAGAAAUGUUGGUCUCAGACAAUACAGGCCAAUGCAGAGCUCAGCCAUUACCCAGCUGCACAUCACCCUUUGCUAAGUGCUGCUCUCUUCGCAAGCUUGGGCUGUGUUGUCAAGUGAAUCUGUAUGGGUUCAAAGAAUAGAAACUAGGUUUUGAUUCUUAAUGAGGAUUGUUGUUGCUUGUAAAGGUAGCUGUGGACAACGUUUGAGAGGAGUUUCAAAUGUGUAGAACAGGGCUGCAGUAGAGAUGAAAGUGUUUUUGCUCUUAAUUAAUUUAGAAAGUAGUCUGCCUCGAUAGAAGCGUGUCAUGCU
RNAcentral lists this long non-coding RNA (1830 nucleotides) under Gallus gallus (chicken). RNAcentral's name for it is "lncRNA (ENSGALG00010019406.1)". Lineage: Eukaryota; Metazoa; Chordata; Aves; Galliformes; Phasianidae. The record is from RNAcentral.